RNAcentral lists this ribosomal RNA (232 nucleotides) under uncultured bacterium. Its description in RNAcentral is "partial 16S ribosomal RNA". It matches the Rfam family "Bacterial small subunit ribosomal RNA", at positions 118 to 350 of the family's 1533-position model. The record is from RNAcentral.
UGGGCAACCUGCCCCUCUCUCUGGGAUAACCCCGGGAAACCGGAGCUAAUACCGGAUACUCCGGCUGGAUCGCAUGGUCCGGCUGGGAAAGGUCCGCCGGAGAGGGAUGGGCCCGCGGCCUAUCAGCUUGUUGGUGAGGUAACGGCUCACCAAGGCGUCGACGGGUAGCUGGUCUGAGAGGACGACCGGCCACACUGGGACUGAGACACGGCCCAGACUCCUACGGGAGGCA